UAAACCAUUGGUUACCACUGUUAGUGUCUGAGUCAUGGAUAAUGAGUAGUAUGUGUCUGGAAUGCUGAGUCCAA
RNAcentral lists this small nucleolar RNA (74 nucleotides) under Procavia capensis (Cape rock hyrax). RNAcentral's name for it is "Small nucleolar RNA SNORD113/SNORD114 family (ENSPCAG00000019061.1)". It matches the Rfam family "Small nucleolar RNA SNORD113/SNORD114 family". Rfam says of the family: The imprinted human domain at 14q32 contains two clusters of tandemly repeated small nucleolar RNAs named 14q(I) and 14q(II) snoRNAs. These two clusters are named SNORD113 and SNORD114 respectively in the HGNC approved gene symbol nomenclature. The record is from RNAcentral. Lineage: Eukaryota; Metazoa; Chordata; Mammalia; Hyracoidea; Procaviidae.